GAUGAACGCUGGCGGCGUGCCUAAUACAUGCAAGUCGAGCGAACAGACGAGGAGCUUGCUCCUCUGACGUUAGCGGCGGACGGGUGAGUAACACGUGGAUAACCUACCUAUAAGACUGGGAUAACUUCGGGAAACCGGAGCUAAUACCGGAUAAUAUACUGAACCGCAUGGUUCAAUAGUGAAAGACGGUUUUGCUGUCACUUCUAGAUGGAUCCGCGCCGCAUUAGCUAGUUGGUAAGGUAACGGCUUACCAAGGCAACGAUGCGUAGCCGACCUGAGAGGGGGAUCGGCCACACUGGAACUGAGACACGGUCCAGACUCCUACGGGAGGCAGCAGUAGGGAAUCUUCCGCAAUGGGCGAAAGCCUGACGGAGCAACGCCGCGUGAGUGAUGAAGGUCUUCGGAUCGUAAAACUCUGUUAUUAGGGAAGAACAAAUGUGUAAGGAACUAUGCACGUCUUGACGGUACCUAAUCAGAAAGCCACGGCUAACUACGUG
This 497-nucleotide ribosomal RNA is filed under the name uncultured bacterium. Its description in RNAcentral is "partial 16S ribosomal RNA". It matches the Rfam family "Bacterial small subunit ribosomal RNA", at positions 28 to 507 of the family's 1533-position model. The record is from RNAcentral.